Molecule: ribosomal RNA, 240 nt
Filed under: uncultured bacterium
Lineage: Bacteria
Description: partial 16S ribosomal RNA
Rfam family: Bacterial small subunit ribosomal RNA
Source: RNAcentral
UACGUAGAGUGCAAACGUUGUUCGGAUUUACUGGGCAUAAAGAGCUCGUAGGUGGCAUUUCAAGUCGGUUGUGAAAGCCCCUGGCUCAACCAGGGAGUGUGCAGCCGAAACUAGACGUGCUUGAGUGUGAGAGGGGAGGAGUGGAACUUCCAGUGGAGCGGUGAAAUGCGUAGAUAUUGGAAGGAACGCCGGUGGCGAAAGCGACUCUCUGGCUCAUUACUGACACUGAGGAGCGAAAGC